This is a long non-coding RNA of Mastacembelus armatus (zig-zag eel), 1581 nucleotides long. Lineage: Eukaryota; Metazoa; Chordata; Actinopteri; Synbranchiformes; Mastacembelidae. The record is from Ensembl.
AUGCCUGAAGAGGUUGUUUUUACUGAAAGCACAGAAGAAAAAAAACACGAUAUUACAGAGAAGAGCAUGUCAGUGGAAAGUGGACUUUCAGAAGAAGUGAUCAACAAGCUCCCAGUUGCAGAUGUACAAUCAAAUGAACUGAGUGAGACAGAGGAUGAGAAAGGCUCAACAAUAACUAAACUUGAUCAAGUUAUCAGGGAGUCUAAUGAUGAAGACCAGGAUAUAUGUGAGUCUGAGUUAGAGUCCAGAGAGUUAUCAUUCUCUGGGGUUUUAAAUGUAGAUGUGUGUGCUCAGGAGUUAGGAAUGGAAGAAGAUAAGGGAGGUAUUGAGGAGCCUGUAGCUGUAGAUGAGGAGAUUUUAGACUCAGAGGGAGAGGAAAAUGUUGAAACUGAAGAACCAGUGGAGGUCUUUCCAUAUUCUGGGCUGGCUGAUGUAGAUGUGUGCGCAACAGAGCUUGGAGAAACAGAACAGAAGAUAUUGGAAAGAGCGACUGGUGAAAAUGAUACACAUACUGUCGAAGAAAAAACCUUAAAACUCCAGCCUGAGGAAAUUCUUGUACAGCCAUCACUGUCUGAAUCCGAAAUCCCUGAGGGCAAUGAACAAGAAUCAGAAGAACAGGAAGAAAAGACUGCGCUGGAGGAAAGAACAGAGAUUGAAGUUUACUAUGGGGAAACUCGUGAAGUUUUAGCAGAUAUUGAGGGUGGUUUAGACAGUAUACCAAAAGACGAUUCUUUGGUUGGUAUUAGCUUUGAAGAUGAGGGCAGUCCAGUAGGAACCAGCCAAAAGAUAUCUGUUAUACAAGACCAAGGUGAACCUGAAAUGGAGGAAAUUGAAAAGGAAGUUCACUCUGAACAGGAUAAAAUGGGAAGUCCACAUGAGACAUCUGAAAUAAUAAAGGAGAAGGUGGAUACAGAUUAUUCUAAUUUUAACAAGAGUGACGAUGAUGAAAAGGGAAAAGGCGUUAAAAACAUCAGCUCAUCACAUCAGCCCACCACCAAAACGGAUGAAGAGGCACCAGAGGAUGAAACCGAUCAUGAAAAUGAAAAUAAUACAAACGGUAAUAAUGAAGAUGAAAUUCACCAGGUAAUGGAUUCUGAAAAAGAGACCAAGUCAAACAACGUUGACUUUACAGAAGAUGAAGUGAUAGAAGGAGCUGAAGGAGACAAAGAGGACUUACAUACAGAAGGUUAUAGUUUGACGGAGGAUGAAAAAAUUGAUAAUGACGAUGCGGAGAAUCAUUCAUCACAAAUAACCCAUUCAAAUAUAUCAACUGUUGCACUGGAGACAAAGAGUGAAACUUUUGAGGCAAGUGCACAACAGCUACCAGAGGAGAAUGAGGAGAGUCAGAGGACACUUGUAGAGUCACAGCCAGAGGAUACAGUGGAUGAAAAGGAGGUCACAUCAAAGGAAACAGAGGAACUGGCAGAAGAAGGAACAGCUGAUUCUGACAUACAGGAGAAAAGUGAUGCAACGUGUGAAGAGGAAAGCAUCACCCUCACUCAUAGUGCAGAUGGGACAGUUGCUGACCACCAAGGGGAGGUAAGGUCACUUGGGUCUGAAAAUGACACUGCAGAGCCUUAG